This 253-nucleotide ribosomal RNA is filed under the name uncultured bacterium. RNAcentral describes it as "partial 16S ribosomal RNA". It matches the Rfam family "Bacterial small subunit ribosomal RNA", at positions 524 to 776 of the family's 1533-position model. The record is from RNAcentral.
UACGAAGGGGGCUAGCGUUGUUCGGAUUUACUGGGCGUAAAGCGCACGUAGGCGGUUUGUUAAGUCAGGGGUGAAAUCCCAGAGCUCAACUCUGGAACUGCCUUCGAUACUGAGAGUCUUGAGUCCGGGAGAGGUGAGUGGAACUGCGAGUGUAGAGGUGAAAUUCGUAGAUAUUCGCAAGAACACCAGUGGCGAAGGCGGCUCACUGGCCCGGUACUGACGCUGAGGUGCGAAAGCGUGGGGAGCAAACAGG